CUCAAGGUCGUCCACGCUGAAACUGCAGCAGGUUUCCGUCCGACCAGUCUCUAAAGCGCUGUUCGUCGCCGCAGAUUACAUCCUAGGCACUCGCCGAACGUAAGUUACCCACCCAUUCCGCCUGGCAACAGUCCCACGACGUCGGCAACGGGUGGGUACACACUGUACAGGCAUGCUUCGGUUAAACUUACUAAUCACUUUCC
Pelobates cultripes (western spadefoot toad) is the source of this 203-nucleotide non-coding RNA. Lineage: Eukaryota; Metazoa; Chordata; Amphibia; Anura; Pelobatidae. The record is from the annotation of a GenBank genome assembly.